GACGAACGCUGGCGGCGUGCUUAGCACAUGCAAGUCGAACGGAAAGGCCUGCUUUCUCUUGUGGAUUGCGGGUACUCGCGUGGCGAACGGGCGAGUAUCACGUGAGUUAUCUGCCCCCAACUCUGGUAUAAGCUUGGGAAACUGGGUCUAAUUCCCGAUAGCACUGCAGGGUGGGGUCGGUGGUUGAAGACGUUGUUCUAGUGGUUGGGGAUGAGCUCGUGGCCUAUCAGCUGGUUGGUGGGGUAGUGGCCUACCAAGACGGCGACGGGUAGCCUGCCUGGGAUGGUGGACCGGCACAGUGGGACUGAGAUACUGCCCAGGCUCCUAGGGCAGGCAGCAGAGGGGAAGAAUGCACGGUGGGCGGAACCCUGAUGCAGGGACGCCGAGUGGGGGAUGCCGGGCUUCGGGUUAUAACCUCCUUUCGACAGCGCGGAGGCCACCUGGAUGAAAGGGUAGUGACGGUAGUGGUAGAAGAAGCACCGGCUAACUACGUG
This 494-nucleotide ribosomal RNA is filed under the name uncultured bacterium. RNAcentral describes it as "partial 16S ribosomal RNA". It matches the Rfam family "Bacterial small subunit ribosomal RNA", at positions 28 to 507 of the family's 1533-position model. The record is from RNAcentral.